Long non-coding RNA from Myotis brandtii (Brandt's bat), 123 nucleotides. RefSeq lists it as uncharacterized. Lineage: Eukaryota; Metazoa; Chordata; Mammalia; Chiroptera; Vespertilionidae. The transcript has 3 exons. The record is from RefSeq and is a predicted model, not a curated record.
ACUGAGGCAUUUUUACUACUAUUCUGUUAAAAUCAGGAUUUUAGUGUUUGUCAUCACCUGAUGAGAAGUGAAGAAGCAGCCUUUCUGUGGAGAGUAAGAAUAAUUGUACAAAAUAGAGAAAUG